GAAAAGAACUACUUGAUCUUAAAGCAAGAACUAUGAAGGAAAGGGUGAGUACCAUUUAAGAGCUGCUACAAUCAACACUUUAAACAGUUUAUUAACAGUGAAACGAAACUCACUGUGCUGAUAAGUGAAGAAAGGAAGGAAAAUCCAUGAUAAUUCAUCAUAUAUCAUAAGACAUCAGCAUCUGGAUAUAAGAACCAUGCCAGGCACUGUGACUCUAAACAGAGAGCGAAGAAGUCCUCUACGAGCCCCAUGGGUUUACAGAAGUCUAUCAAUCUCUCUGUCCAUCUUCCGGAUCAUUAUUCAAGUUACUGUUCCCAAUUUUGCUGGGUAUAUGAGAUCUAGCCCAGCUCCGUAGAUCAUUUUUCUUCCUAGUGGAUUAGGAAUUUGUUCUCUUUAAAUUAUCUCUGAGCUAAUAUGCUGCUCAAAAAAGUAGUAGGAAUGUCAACAUCACCUGUGUUUGCUUUGCGUAUGUGUUUAUAUAUCUACCUCCCCACCCUUGUACUGUGAUUGCCAUAUGAGAACUUAAAGUUAUGAAUGGAACUAGUAGCAG
Molecule: long non-coding RNA, 550 nt
Filed under: Rattus norvegicus (Norway rat)
Lineage: Eukaryota; Metazoa; Chordata; Mammalia; Rodentia; Muridae
Description: long non-coding RNA NONRATT009295
Source: RNAcentral